GAAAGUCGCUAGGGGAGCAUAUGCUGAGAUUGUAUCCGGCAGCCGCAGGCCGCCGGAUGCUAACCCUCAUUACCUGAACCGGAUAAUGCCGGCGUAGGGAAGCUGUAACGGGUAAGU
Firmicutes bacterium CAG:534 is the source of this 117-nucleotide regulatory RNA element. It matches the Rfam family "TPP riboswitch aptamer (THI element)". From Rfam's summary of the family: Vitamin B(1) in its active form thiamin pyrophosphate (TPP) is an essential coenzyme that is synthesised by coupling of pyrimidine and thiazole moieties in bacteria. The record is from Rfam. Lineage: Bacteria; Bacillati; Bacillota.